UAGAAGUCACAAAAGCAGUAUUCUGGGCCC
This 30-nucleotide non-coding RNA is filed under the name Homo sapiens (human). Lineage: Eukaryota; Metazoa; Chordata; Mammalia; Primates; Hominidae. The record is from RNAcentral.